RNAcentral lists this ribosomal RNA (468 nucleotides) under uncultured bacterium. Its description in RNAcentral is "partial 16S ribosomal RNA". It matches the Rfam family "Bacterial small subunit ribosomal RNA", at positions 28 to 507 of the family's 1533-position model. The record is from RNAcentral.
GACGAACGCUGGCGGCGUGCUUAACACAUGCAAGUCGAACGGAAAGGCCCUGCUUUUGUGGGGUGCUCGAGUGGCGAACGGGUGAGUAACACGUGAGUAACCUGCCCUUGACUUUGGGAUAACUUCAGGAAACUGGGGCUAAUACCGGAUAGGAGCUCCUGCUGCAUGGUGGGGGUUGGAAAGUUUCGGCGGUUGGGGAUGGACUCGCGGCUUAUCAGCUUGUUGGUGGGGUAGUGGCUUACCAAGGCUUUGACGGGUAGCCGGCCUGAGAGGGUGACCGGCCACAAUGGGAAUGGGGUACGGCCCAGACUCCUACGGGAGGCAGCAGGGGGGAAUAUUGCAAAAUGGGCGGAAGCCUGAUGCAGCAACGCCGCGUGCGGGAUGACGGCCUUCGGGUUGUAAACCGCUUUCGCCUGGGACGAAGCGUGAGUGACGGUAAUGGGUAAAGAAGCACCGGCUAACUACGUG